GUCGAGCGAACGGACGAGAAGCUUGCUUCUCUGAUGUUAGCGGCGGACGGGUGAGUAACACGUGGAUAACCUACCUAUAAGACUGGGAUAACUUCGGGAAACCGGAGCUAAUACCGGAUAAUAUUUUGAACCGCAUGGUUCAAAGGUAAAAGACGGUCUUGCUGUCACUUAUAGAUGGAUCCGCGCUGCAUUAGCUAGUUGGUAAGGUAACGGCUUACCAAGGCAACGAUGCAUAGCCGACCUGAGAGGGUGAUCGGCCACACUGGAACUGAGACACGGUCCAGACUCCUACGGGAGGCAGCAGUAGGGAAUCUUCCGCAAUGGGCGAAAGCCUGACGGAGCAACGCCGCGUGAGUGAUGAAGGUCUUCGGAUCGUAAAACUCUGUUAUUAGGGAAGAACAUAUGUGUAAGUAACUGUGCACAUCUUGACGGUACCUAAUCAGAAAGCCACGGCUAACUACGUGCCAGCAGCCGCGGUAAUACGUAGGUGGCAAGCGUUAUCCGGAAUUAUUGGGCGUAAAGCGCGCGUAGGCGGUUUUUUAAGUCUGAUGUGAAAGCCCACGGCUCAACCGUGGAGGGUCAUUGGAAACUGGAAAACUUGAGUGCAGAAGAGGAAAGUGGAAUUCCAUGUGUAGCGGUGAAAUGCGCAGAGAUAUGGAGGAACACCAGUGGCGAAGGCGACUUUCUGGUCUGUAACUGACGCUGAUGUGCGAAAGCGUGGGGAUCAAAC
Molecule: ribosomal RNA, 730 nt
Filed under: uncultured Staphylococcus sp.
Lineage: Bacteria; Bacillati; Bacillota; Bacilli; Caryophanales; Staphylococcaceae
Description: bacterial SSU rRNA
Rfam family: Bacterial small subunit ribosomal RNA
Source: RNAcentral